CUGGCGGCAGGCCUAACACAUGCAAGUCGAGCGGUAGAGAGGUGCUUGCACCUCUUGAGAGCGGCGGACGGGUGAGUAAUACCUAGGAAUCUGCCUGGUAGUGGGGGAUAACGUUCGGAAACGGACGCUAAUACCGCAUACGUCCUACGGGAGAAAGCAGGGGACCUUCGGGCCUUGCGCUAUCAGAUGAGCCUAGGUCGGAUUAGCUAGUUGGUGAGGUAAUGGCUCACCAAGGCUACGAUCCGUAACUGGUCUGAGAGGAUGAUCAGUCACACUGGAACUGAGACACGGUCCAGACUCCUACGGGAGGCAGCAGUGGGGAAUAUUGGACAAUGGGCGAAAGCCUGAUCCAGCCAUGCCGCGUGUGUGAAGAAGGUCUUCGGAUUGUAAAGCACUUUAAGUUGGGAGGAAGGGCAUU
This 418-nucleotide ribosomal RNA is filed under the name uncultured Pseudomonas sp. RNAcentral describes it as "bacterial SSU rRNA". It matches the Rfam family "Bacterial small subunit ribosomal RNA", at positions 36 to 456 of the family's 1533-position model. The record is from RNAcentral. Lineage: Bacteria; Pseudomonadati; Pseudomonadota; Gammaproteobacteria; Pseudomonadales; Pseudomonadaceae.